UGUUCAAAAGUAUUCUGUUUUUAAAAGCUCUUAAUUACUACAGCAAAUUUGAAAGUAACAAUAAUCUCUUGUACUGCUACUACAGGGGUCCCUUGAACUGGUAUCGUAAUAUUGAGGCCAACUGGAAAUGGAUGUGCAAAGCUGCAGGAAGAAAGAUAUAUGCACCGUCCCUAAUGAUCACAGCUGGUCGCGAUACUGUUCUCACGCCAGCAUCAAGCAAACAUAUGGAGAAAUGGAUUCCAAACUUAAAACGAGGUCAUAUCGAAGUCUGCAACCAUUGGACACAAG
Molecule: long non-coding RNA, 288 nt
Organism: Anneissia japonica
Lineage: Eukaryota; Metazoa; Echinodermata; Crinoidea; Comatulida; Comatulidae
Exons: 3
Source: RefSeq, a predicted model, not a curated record